GGGCUGUGUGAGGCUAAAUCAAUAAACGGAAACUAAGCAUGUAGAGCUCUCGGCAGAGUGCUGACGGACGGGGGUUCAAAUCCCCCCGGCUCCACCA
RNAcentral lists this transfer RNA (97 nucleotides) under Litorivivens lipolytica. RNAcentral's name for it is "tRNA-OTHER". It matches the Rfam family "transfer-messenger RNA", at positions 275 to 374 of the family's 374-position model. Rfam says of the family: Bacterial tmRNA, also known as 10Sa RNA or SsrA, is named for its dual tRNA and mRNA-like properties. Its role is to liberate the mRNA from a stalled ribosome. To accomplish this part of the tmRNA is used as a reading frame that ends in a translation stop signal. Lineage: Bacteria; Pseudomonadati; Pseudomonadota; Gammaproteobacteria. The record is from RNAcentral.